RNAcentral lists this ribosomal RNA (253 nucleotides) under uncultured bacterium. RNAcentral describes it as "partial 16S ribosomal RNA". It matches the Rfam family "Bacterial small subunit ribosomal RNA", at positions 524 to 776 of the family's 1533-position model. The record is from RNAcentral.
UACAGAGGUGGCAAGCGUUGUUCGGAAUUACUGGGCGUAAAGGGCGCGUAGGCGGCCUUCUAAGUCAGACGUGAAAUCCCCCGGCUUAACCUGGGAACUGCGUCUGAUACUGGAAGGCUUGAAUCCGGGAGAGGGAUGUGGAAUUCCAGGUGUAGCGGUGAAAUGCGUAGAUAUCUGGAGGAACACCGGUGGCGAAGGCGACAUCCUGGACCGGUAUUGACGCUGAGGCGCGAAAGCCAGGGGAGCAAACGGG